This 131-nucleotide small nucleolar RNA is filed under the name Pygoscelis adeliae (Adelie penguin). Its description in RNAcentral is "Small nucleolar RNA SNORA44". It matches the Rfam family "Small nucleolar RNA SNORA44". From Rfam's summary of the family: ACA44 is a member of the H/ACA class of snoRNA that guide the sites of modification of uridines to pseudouridines. Lineage: Eukaryota; Metazoa; Chordata; Aves; Sphenisciformes; Spheniscidae. The record is from Rfam by way of RNAcentral.
CUGCAUGUUUAUCCAAGAGCUGUGGCUCCGUGAAAUAGCUACGGGUCUCCAACAACAUGCAAGAGCAACGGGAAGGUCUUUGACUGCUGGGCCUCUCUUGCCUGUUGCUGUCACUCGCCCCUCCUAUAUAU